This 496-nucleotide ribosomal RNA is filed under the name uncultured bacterium. RNAcentral's name for it is "partial 16S ribosomal RNA". It matches the Rfam family "Bacterial small subunit ribosomal RNA", at positions 28 to 506 of the family's 1533-position model. The record is from RNAcentral.
GAUGAACGCUGGCGGCGUGCCUAAUACAUGCAAGUCGAGCGAACGGACGAGAAGCUUGCUUCUCUGAUGUUAGCGGCGGACGGGUGAGUAACACGUGGAUAACCUACCUAUAAGACUGGGAUAACUUCGGGAAACCGGAGCUAAUACCGGAUAAUAUUUUGAACCGCAUGGUUCAAAAGUGAAAGACGGUCUUGCUGUCACUUAUAGAUGGAUCCGCGCUGCAUUAGCUAGUUGGUAAGGUAACGGCUUACCAAGGCAACGAUGCAUAGCCGACCUGAGAGGGUGAUCGGCCACACUGGAGCUGAGACACGGUCCAGACUCCUACGGAAGGCAGCAGUAGGGAAUCUUCCGCAAUGGGCGAAAGCCUGACGGAGCAACGCCGCGUGAGUGAUGAAGGUCUUCGGAUCGUAAAACUCUGUUAUUAGGGAAGAACAUAUGUGUAAGUAACUGUGCACAUCUUGACGGUACCUAAUCAGAAAGCCACGGCUAACUACGU